RNAcentral lists this ribosomal RNA (482 nucleotides) under uncultured bacterium. RNAcentral's name for it is "bacterial SSU rRNA". It matches the Rfam family "Bacterial small subunit ribosomal RNA", at positions 409 to 902 of the family's 1533-position model. The record is from RNAcentral.
UGACGGCCUUCGGGUUGUAAACCUCUUUUAGUAGGGAAGAAGCGAAAGUGACGGUACCUGCAGAAAAAGCACCGGCCAACUACGUGCCAGCAGCCGCGGUAAUACGUAGGGUGCAAGCGUUGUCCGGAAUUAUUGGGCGUAAAGAGCUCGUAGGCGGUUUGUCGCGUCUGCUGUGAAAUCCCGAGGCUCAACCUCGGGCUUGCAGUGGGUACGGGCAGACUAGAGUGCGGUAGGGGAGAUUGGAAUUCCUGGUGUAGCGGUGGAAUGCGCAGAUAUCAAGAGGAACACCGAUGGCGAAGGCAGAUCUCUGGGCCGUAACUGACGCUGAGGAGCGAAAGCAUGGGGAGCGAACAGGAUUAGAUACCCUGGUAGUCCAUGCCGUAAACGUUGGGCGCUAGAUGUAGGGACCUUUCCACGGUUUCUGUGUCGUAGCUAACGCAUUAAGCGCCCCGCCUGGGGAGUACGGCCGCAAGGCUAAACUC